UACGUAGGGUGCGAGCGUUGUCCGGAAUUACUGGGCGUAAAGAGCUCGUAGGUGGUUUGUCGCGUUGUUCGUGAAAACCGGGGGCUUAACCCUCGGCGUGCGGGCGAUACGGGCAGACUUGAGUACUGCAGGGGAGACUGGAAUUCCUGGUGUAGCGGUGAAAUGCGCAGAUAUCAGGAAGAACACCCGUGGCGAAGGCGGCUCUCUGGAACGCAACUGACGCUGAGACGCGAAAGCGUGGGGAGCGAACAGG
Molecule: ribosomal RNA, 253 nt
Filed under: uncultured bacterium
Lineage: Bacteria
Description: partial 16S ribosomal RNA
Rfam family: Bacterial small subunit ribosomal RNA
Source: RNAcentral